CGAUGGAUAAAUAGAUAUCUAUUUAUCCAUCGAAAAAAAAAUGGAUCCGAUGGAUCCAAAGGAUGCGAUGGAUAAAUAGAUAUCUAUUUAUCCAUC
Molecule: non-coding RNA, 96 nt
Organism: Paramuricea clavata
Lineage: Eukaryota; Metazoa; Cnidaria; Anthozoa; Malacalcyonacea; Plexauridae
Source: the annotation of a GenBank genome assembly